This 432-nucleotide ribosomal RNA is filed under the name uncultured bacterium. Its description in RNAcentral is "partial 16S ribosomal RNA". It matches the Rfam family "Bacterial small subunit ribosomal RNA", at positions 29 to 506 of the family's 1533-position model. The record is from RNAcentral.
AGCGAACGCUGGCGGCAGGCCUAACACAUGCCAGUCGAACGAACUCUUCGGAGUUAGUGGCGGACGGGUGAGUAACACGUGGGAACGUGCCUUUUGGUUCGGAAUAACUCAGGGAAACUUGUGCUAAUACCGAAUGUGCCCUUCGGGGGAAAGAUUUAUCGCCAUUAGAGCGGCCCGCGUCUGAUUAGCUAGUUGGGGAGGUAACGGCUCACCAAGGCGACGAUCAGUAGCUGGUCUGAGAGGAUGACCAGCCACACUGGGACUGAGACACGGCCCAGACUCCUACGGGAGGCAGCAGUGGGGAAGCUUGCGCAAUGGGCGAAAGCCUGACGCAGCCAUGCCGCGUGAAUGAUGAAGGUCUUAGGAUAGUAAAAUUCUUUCACCGGGGACGAUAAUGACGGUACCCGGAGAAGAAGCCCCGGCGAACUUCGU